This 468-nucleotide ribosomal RNA is filed under the name uncultured bacterium. Its description in RNAcentral is "partial 16S ribosomal RNA". It matches the Rfam family "Bacterial small subunit ribosomal RNA", at positions 28 to 507 of the family's 1533-position model. The record is from RNAcentral.
GACGAACGCUGGCGGCGUGCUUAACACAUGCAAGUCGAACGGAAAGGCCCUGCUUUUGUGGGGUGCUCGAGUGGCGAACGGGUGAGUAACACGUGAGUAACCUGCCCCUGACAUAGGGAUAACUUCAGGAAACUGGGGCUAAUACCGGAUAGGAGCUCCUGCUGCAUGGUGGGGGUUGGAAAGUUUCGGCGGUUGGGGAUGGACUCGCGGCUUAUCAGCUUGUUGGUGGGGUAGUGGCUUACCAAGGCUGUGACGGGUAGCCGGCCUGAGAGGGUGACCGGCCACAUUGGGACUGAGAUACGGCCCAGACUCCUACGGGAGGCAGCAGUGGGGAGUUUUGCACAAUGGGCGGAAGCCUGAUGCAGCAACGCCGCGUGCGGGAUGACGGCCUUCGGGUUGUAAACCGCUUUCGCCUGUGACGAAGCGUGAGUGACGGUAAUGGGUAAAGAAGCACCGGCUAACUACGUG